RNAcentral lists this ribosomal RNA (429 nucleotides) under uncultured bacterium. RNAcentral describes it as "bacterial SSU rRNA". It matches the Rfam family "Bacterial small subunit ribosomal RNA", at positions 355 to 776 of the family's 1533-position model. The record is from RNAcentral.
UGGGGAAUAUUGGACAAUGGGGGAAGCCCUGAUCCAGCAAUGCCGCGUGUGUGAAGAAGGCCUUCGGGUUGUAAAGCACUUUUGUUGCGGAAGAAGGUACGCUAGUUAAAAGCUGGCGUGCUUGACGGUACGCAAAGAAUAAGCACCGGCUAACUCUGUGCCAGCAGCCGCGGUAAUACAGAGGGUGCGAGCGUUAAUCGGAAUUACUGGGCGUAAAGGGUGCGUAGGUGGAAUUGUAAGUCGAACGUGAAAAGCCUGGGCUUAACCUGGGUCCUGCGUCCGAUACUGCAGUUCUAGGGUAUGGCAGAGGGGAGUGGAAUUUCCGGUGUAGCGGUGAAAUGCGUAGAUAUCGGAAGGAACACCAGUGGCGAAGGCGACUCCCUGGGCUAAUACUGACACUGAGGCACGAAAGCGUGGGGAGCAAACAGG